GCGAGAUGGAGGACUCGUUUCAGGAUGGAAAGGAGGCAGUCAUUCAAGCGUGGUACAUGGACGAUAGUGAAGAAGACCAGAGACUUCCUCAUCACCGUGAACCCAAGGAAUAUCUUUCUUUGGAGCAACUUAAAGAUCUAGGAGUCGUCAGCUGGCGCCUGCAAAAUGUCGAUGAUUAUGACAAUGAUGAAGACCUGAAGAAGAUACGUGAAGCCAGGGGCUAUUCUUACGUGGACAUAAUUGAAGUGUGCCCAGAGAAGCUGCCAAACUAUGAGGCCAAGAUCAAGAGUUUCUUUGAGGAGCAUCUGCACACUGAUGAAGAAAUUCGUUACUGCCUUGAUGGGACUGGUUACUUUGACGUUAGGGACCGUAAUGACCAGUGGAUUCGCGUGGCUGUGAAGAAAGGGGGCAUGAUUGUCUUGCCUGCUGGAAUCUAUCAUCGUUUUACCCUGGAUUCUAACAACUAUAUUAAGGCGAUGCGCCUCUUUGUUGGCGAGCCAGUGUGGACUCCUUACAACCGCCCCCACGAUGAGCUGCCAGCGAGGAAAGAGUACCUUGAAGCUUUUGUGAACAAGCAAGUCAGUCGCCAAGCUGUUGAAGCUAUCUGAUGUUGCAUACGCCUUUGUAUGUAACAUUAGUAUCCGAAUUCUAUGAAUUUAAUUGUGUGGAGUUUGGGUCCUGUUAAAUCUCUCUAAUGGUCUCUAUUUCGCAGAUACCAAAGUAUAGAACAUUAUACAUAUAUCCAAAUCCAUGUGUUUGGAUGGUUAUGUGUGGAGUUAUUAGUUGAGUUCUUA
This 794-nucleotide unclassified non-coding RNA is filed under the name Hevea brasiliensis (rubber tree). The record is from RNAcentral. Lineage: Eukaryota; Viridiplantae; Streptophyta; Magnoliopsida; Malpighiales; Euphorbiaceae.